UUGCUUUUCUGAAUCUAGUGGCGAACGGGUGAGUAACACGUAGGUAACCUGCCCAUGUGCCCGGGAUAACUUCUGGAAACGGAUGCUAAAACCGGAUAGGUAGCAGACAAGCAUUUGACUGCUAUUAAAGUGGCUUUGGCCAUGAACAUGGAUGGACCUGCGGUGCAUUAGCUGGUUGGUGAGGUAACGGCCCACCAAGGCGACGAUGCAUAGCCGGCCUGAGAGGUUGAACGGCCACAUUGGGACUGAGAUACGGCCCAGACUCC
This 266-nucleotide ribosomal RNA is filed under the name uncultured bacterium. RNAcentral's name for it is "partial 16S ribosomal RNA". It matches the Rfam family "Bacterial small subunit ribosomal RNA", at positions 78 to 339 of the family's 1533-position model. The record is from RNAcentral.